RNAcentral lists this ribosomal RNA (479 nucleotides) under uncultured bacterium. RNAcentral describes it as "partial 16S ribosomal RNA". It matches the Rfam family "Bacterial small subunit ribosomal RNA", at positions 28 to 507 of the family's 1533-position model. The record is from RNAcentral.
GAUGAACGCUAGCGGGAGGCCUAACACAUGCAAGCCGAGCGGUAUUUGUUCUUCUGCACAGCGAGAGCGGCGCACGGGUGCGGAACACGCGUGCAACCUGCCUUUAUCUGGGGGAUAGCCUUUCGAAAGGAAGAUUAAUACCCCAUAAUAUAUUGAGUGGCAUCAUUUGAUAUUGUAAAAUCCGGUGGAUAGAGAUGGGCACGCGCCAGAUUAGAUAGUUGGUGAGGUAACGGCUCACCAAGUCAAUGAUCUUUGGGGGGCCUGAGAGGGUGAUCCCCCACACUGGUACUGCGACACGGACCAGACUCCUACGGGAGGCAGCAGUGAGGAAUAUUGGACAAUGGGUUAGCGCCUGAUCCAGCCAUGCCGCGUGAAGGACGACGGCGCUAGGGGUGGUAAACUUCUUUUGUAUAGGGAUAGACCUACUCUCGUGAGAGUAGCUGAAGGUACUAUACGAAUAAGCACCGGCUAACUCCGUG